GUUUUACAGAGGGUUUUGCUGUGUCACAGUCCCCCUGCCUCAGCCUCCCAUGUGGCUGGGACUACAGGCACAUGCUACCAUGCCUUUCUCUUUCAGACAGGUCUUGCCUGCUCCGCUGUCUGAGCUGGCCACAAGUGAUAUGACCCUUCUCAUCGUCACUGCCUUGUUCUCAGGUUCAGGGGCAUUGCAAAUCAUGCUAAUACACCACCAAAUACGCUGUUGCUGCUUCUAAGUGCCAUCCUGUAAAUGUGCCUUACUAAGGAUGGGAAAGGCACAGUGAGAACUGAGGCCUAGGCACGCUCUGUCCUCGUCACCUCGAAUCCCCGUGGCCUGGGUAGGCACGUCGGACACCUCUGAACCUGUGCAAUGGAGAUGGCUGUGGUGAGGACAGAAGCAGACGGCACAUGAAGCGGGUGGCACGGCAGACCGGUCCAUGCCAACUCUUUCCUCUGUCUCCUCAGAAACUCAAGUCUGAUAUUUUGAACCUAAAUAAACCUUCAAAAGUCAUCAGGGUAAAAAGCCUGACCUGACAUCCACAGACUAGCCACCCUUGGGUGGAGCCCGCAGAGACAGGGCCCAGCUGAGCCACUGCAAACAAGGACCUGUCCAUUCCAGCAACAACUGAGGCAGCCAGGCAGACCUGGAGCUCAAGACUCAGAGUGGCCCCUGGGCAUACCACAGAGACUCUGUACUCCACCCAGUCCCGGUCCCUUCAUUCCCCAAAGAAGCACUGAGAUCUCAGAGAAGGAUCUCCAUUCAACGCAGCCAAAAAGGAAAAUCGAAGCCAAGCACAAGGCAAGCCUUCCUGAGAGAAGACAGAAAGUCUCUGUAACCUGUGGAAUGAAAGCUUCGCCAGCAGAACGUGACUCUCUUGUCACGAAUGACUUCAAUUGCCGGUGGACAGGAAUUCUGAACGAGAACAAAGAGCGUCAGAGCGGUUUCAGGGCUCUGGCUGUCGUUCUGGGGCAGGCGGGCUGGUAACGUUAUAGUAUAAUGACGGGGACGAAGGACAGGGUGUCCUUUCACCGCGCAAGGCUCCUGCAGCCAAAGGGUCUCAGGCCCUCACAGAGCCUUCACUGAAGUGGAAACGAGGAAUUUUCUAGCAGCAUGGACGGGGCUGAGAGCAGGUAACUCAGCCCAGCCAGAUCCACAAGGGCAGCAAAUGGGGAGAAGGGAUGAAACGAUGCCAUCUGCUCGCUCACCGAUGGUAAGAUGUGCACUAAAUCAGGGUCUUUUCUGUC
Tupaia belangeri chinensis (Chinese tree shrew) is the source of this 1241-nucleotide long non-coding RNA. RefSeq lists it as uncharacterized. The transcript is spliced from 3 exons. NCBI's taxonomy places the organism in Eukaryota, Metazoa, Chordata, Mammalia, Scandentia, Tupaiidae. The record is from RefSeq and is a predicted model, not a curated record.